RNAcentral lists this ribosomal RNA (159 nucleotides) under Pythium insidiosum. RNAcentral's name for it is "5.8S ribosomal RNA". The stretch from base 24 to 159 matches the Rfam family "5.8S ribosomal RNA", at positions 1 to 135 of the family's 154-position model. From Rfam's summary of the family: 5.8S ribosomal RNA (5.8S rRNA) is a component of the large subunit of the eukaryotic ribosome. It is transcribed by RNA polymerase I as part of the 45S precursor that also contains 18S and 28S rRNA. The record is from RNAcentral. Lineage: Eukaryota; Oomycota; Peronosporomycetes; Pythiales; Pythiaceae.
GUCUUUGGUUUUAAUCCAUUAACAACUUUCAGCAGUGGAUGUCUAGGCUCGCACAUCGAUGAAGAACGCUGCGAACUGCGAUACGUAAUGCGAAUUGCAGGAUUCAGUGAGUCAUCGAAAUUUUGAACGCAUAUUGCACUUUCGGGUUAUGCCUGGAAG